RNAcentral lists this ribosomal RNA (1710 nucleotides) under Triticum aestivum (bread wheat). RNAcentral describes it as "partial small subunit ribosomal RNA". Lineage: Eukaryota; Viridiplantae; Streptophyta; Magnoliopsida; Poales; Poaceae. The record is from RNAcentral.
AUGUCGUCAGCUGGUGUCAUUGCGCUUGCUCCGAUGACCGACGACCUCGCCUUCUUGCCCAUCAGGUUUGAUGGCAGUCGUUCAGCACACUGUUUCUCCGGGUCACAGCUGCAGGAUUCCAUUCUCAUCUUCCUUGCUGUGCCUGGUGCGCCUCCAAUGCCGAUGAGUGUGCUGGGCACUGAUUCCAUCGCUUCGGUGAAGCUGCGCAUCCAGAGGUUCAAGGGCUUUGUGGUGACAAAGCAGCGGCUCGUGCUCGACGGGCACGAGCUGGCGCGCAACAACUGCCCUGUCAAGGAUUAUGGGCUUGCCGAUGGGAAUGUUCUGCACCUUGUUAUCCGCUUGGCUGACCUCCGGGUGAUUAACAUCGAAACCGCCAGUGGGAAGAAAUUUCAGUUUCAGGUGGACCAGAGCCGCAAUGUCAAGUACCUCAAGAGUAAGCUUGCAGUGGAGGGUGAUGAGGACCUUGAUAGCCUGGAGGAUGAUGACAAGCUCGAGUACGAUGGAGAGGUGCUUGAGGACCACCAGUUGAUUGCUGAUAUUAGCAACAAGGAUGAUGCUGUGAUUCAUUUGUUCAUCCGCAAACCAGCAAAGGUACGAACACAGCAAGUUGAUAAGGAUACUGUGGUCACAGUUGACAACCCUCAGAAGAAAGAGAACCUACAGAAUGAAUCUGUUGUGGUGACCCCUGCAAAACCAGCUGGUGGCAAGCCUGCUCCUAUCGAACCAAUUGUUGUUAACCGGAAGGCGAAGCUGUCGUCUGAAGUGAUGAAAAUGAUUGACUCAGCAAUAGCUGGUCUUGAGAAUGGAUAUACACCAGUUAUGUCAGCAGAAGGUUCAGGGGGUGUUUACUUCAUGCAAGACUCAUCAGGCCAGAAGAAUGUUGCAGUGUUUAAGCCCAUUGAUGAGGAACCUAUGGCUGAAAACAACCCAAGGGGUCAUCCACUGUCGACUGAUGGGGAAGGCAUGAAGAGAGGAACGCGUGUAGGGGAAGGUGCACUAAGGGAAGUUGCGGCUUAUAUUCUCGACCAUGCAGUUGGUGAUCGUGAAUCGGGCCACGGUGUUGGGUUUUCUGGUGUGCCUCCCACAGCAUUAGUCCGAAGCUUACAUAGGGGAAAGAGCUUCAAGUUUGGAUCUCUGCAGAUGUUUAUGGAGAACGAUGGAAGUUGCGAGGAUAUGGGUCCCCGUGCUUUUCCAGUGAAGGAGGUACACAAAAUAGCAGUGUUAGAUAUUAGGUUAGCGAAUGCUGAUCGUCAUGCAGGGAACAUUCUAGUGUCCAAGGAAGAAGGUGCCACCUGCAAGCUGAUUCCAAUUGAUCAUGGCUACUGCCUGCCAGAGAAGUUUGAGGAUUGCACCUUCGAGUGGCUUUACUGGCCUCAAGCCCGUGAGCGGUUCAGUGAUGAAACCAUUGCAUACAUUGAAUCUCUUGACGCGGAAGAGGACAUCAAGCUUCUCAGGUUCCACGGGUGGGAGCUGUCUUCGAGCUGCGCCCGCGUCCUGCGCAUCAGCACCAUGCUCCUGAAGAAGGGCGCGGCGCGAGGCCUCACACCCUAUGACAUAGGACGUAUACUGUGCAGGGAGACUGUGAAUAGAGACUCUGUGAUCGAGGACAUCAUCCAGGAAGCGGAGGACGCCGUCCUCCCGGGGACGAGCGAGAACCUGUUCCUGGAGACGGUGUCCGAGAUCAUAGACCGCCACCUCCUCGGCAAGUAA